GAUGAACGCUGGCGGCGUGCCUAAUACAUGCAAGUCGAGCGAACGGACGAGAAGCUUGCUUUUCUGAUGUUAGCGGCGGACGGGUGAGUAACACGUGGAUAACCUACCUAUAAGACUGGGAUAACUUCGGGAAACCGGAGCUAAUACCGGAUAAUAUUUUGAACCGCAUGGUUCAAAAGUGAAAGACGGUCUUGCUGUCACUUAUAGAUGGAUCCGCGCUUCAUUAGCUAGUUGGUAAGGUAACGGCUUACCAAGGCAACGUUGCAUAGCCGACCUGAGAGGGUGAUCGGCCACACUGGACCUGAGACACGGUCCAGCCUCCUACGGGAGGCAGCAGUAGGGAAUCUUCCGCAUGGGGCGAAAGCCUGACGGAGCAACGCCGCGUGAGUGAUGAAGGUCUUCGGUUCGUAAAACUCUGUUAUUAGGGAAGAACAGAUGUGUAAGUAACUGUGCACAUCUUGACGGUACCUAAUCAGAAAGCCACGGCUAACUACGUG
Molecule: ribosomal RNA, 497 nt
Filed under: uncultured bacterium
Lineage: Bacteria
Description: partial 16S ribosomal RNA
Rfam family: Bacterial small subunit ribosomal RNA
Source: RNAcentral